UCUUGGGCUGCAGAUGUUAUCCAUACCUUCGAAAAUCAGGAAGCAAUAAAUUCAUGAACAAAACCUAUCCAUGUGUUUUUAUUGGAUACAGUUCAUCUCACAAGGGGUAUCAUUGUUUGGAUCCAAAAACAAAUCGUGUAUUUAUUUCAAGGCAUGUUGUGUUUGAUGAGACUUUAUUUUCCUUCAAGUCUAACUCUUUUUUAAUUUCAUAGGAACCCUUAAGGCUUACUACCUUUUCUAAUACUGAUGCAUGGUAUGACACACCUAAGAAAAUUGUCUCUUCCACCACCUCAAGAAUAGAUCCGUGUACAAGCUCCUUAUCUGCCAACUGCAGUGAAGAAGCAGUAUCAUCAUAUGUUCCACAAAACAGCUCUUCUUCCAACCAAAACAGCUCAUUAUCCGUUGGUCCUUAUGAAGAAACGGUUCACUCAAAUGUUUCACAAGAGCACUCCUCACCUAACCUAACAACUCCAUUGCACCAUGUCCCCCGUCACUUGCAAAUUUCAAAUGAAUUCUUACCUAACCCAACUACUUCAUCUCAACCUAUUUCCACACCACAUCCGAUCCUACCUAGCCAUGACAUCUCUCAUACACCAACUCCUCUCUCACAUGUCACAUCAUCAUAAUCUCCUAUAGCCAUAACAGUACCUUCACAUCCUACUCAAGACCUCUCCUCCCAAUUUUUUGUAGAUCUGGAUUUCCCACCGUUGCCAUCUCCUUCACGGUUACCAUCUCCUUCUAACCUAUCCAACUCAUCUCAUCAUCCAAUGCUCACACGGCAUCAACUUAAACAGAACCCACAUCGUAUCACUGAGCUCCAUCCAAAUAAUAACACAAACACCAGUCUUCUAACCGAAACCAAUGUUAUUUCCAUUCCCAAAACUGUUCAAACAGCACUCAAAUUCCCUGAAUGGAAGAAUGCCAUGAUGGAAGAACUGUCUGCACUUCAUCAUAAUUCUACUUGGGUGUUAGUACCACGACCAGCUGAUGUUAAUGUAGUAGGCUCUAAGUGGGUAUACCGUGUGAAAUAUAAAGAAGAUGGCUUUUUGGAUCGUUACAAAGCACGUCUCGUGGCAAAAGGCUACACACAGAUUGAAGGCUUGGAUUAUGAAGAAAUUUUCAGCCCGGUGGUAAAACCAACUUCAAUUCGGUUAAUUCUUUCCAUUGCCGUUUCCUAUGGUUGGAAAAUUAAGCAACUUGAUAUAAAAAAUGCCUUCUUACAUGGACAUCUUAAAGAGAUAGUAUUCAUGGAGCAACCUCCCGGGUUUGUUGAUGCCACAUAUCCAGAUUAUGUGUGUCUUUUAUAGAAGUCUCUUUAUGGCCUCAAACAAGCUCCUAGAGCUUGGUUUGAUCAUUUGUCUCAAAGCUUGCUUAGUUUGGGUUUCAAGUGCAGCAGAGCUGAUCCUUCUUUAUUUUUCUUUAGAAAUAAUACUGACAUUAUUCUUCUCCUCAUAUAUGUCAAUGAUGUAAUCUUGACAGGGUCCAAUGCUUCUCUGCUUGCUGAACUAAUUUAUCGUUUGAACAAAGACUUUGCUUUAAAGGAUCUUGGUUGCAUUCAUUAUUUUUUGGGCAUUGAGGUUUGGUUUUUUCAUGGUGGAUUAUUAUUAUUCCAAACCAAGUAUGCUCAUGAUCUUCUCAAGCGUGCACAUUUGAUAGGAGCUACACCUAUGGCAACAUCUGUGUCUGUCGAACAAACUGCUCAUUCUAAUGAUCACCUUCUUGUCAAUGCAACCGGAGUAUAGAAGCCUAGUGGGAGCACUUCAAUACCUCACAUUCACACGGCCAGACAUUCAAUAUGCUGUGAACCAAGUCUGCCAGCACUUUCAAACUCCUACACAGCAGCAUCUUCGUGCGGUCAAACGUAUAUUACGGUGAAGUACCACAGGUUUGUGUAUUUACUUUGGCGCUAACUUGGUCUCCUGGUCCUCCAAAAAGCAGCCAACCAUUGCACGUUCAAGCACCGAAGCCGAAUAUCGAGCAAUGGCUUCUGCUGCAGCUGAGUUGACCUGGAUAUCUAACUUACUGCGAGAAAUUGGGAUGGCUUAUACUCGUCCAAUUAAGCUGUAUUGUGACAAUCUCAGUGCUCUUCAUCUCACUAUCAAUCCAGUUUUUCAUAACAGGACUAAACAUAUUCAGCUUGACUACCAUUUCAUUCGAGAAAAAGUUGCAUCAGGUGACCUCAACACACUCUAUCUUCCUUCUCCUCGUCAGGUUUGCAGAUCUGUUUACCAAAGCACUCAGCAAAUCUCAAUUCCUUCUUUUUCAAGCCAAACUAGGAGUUCGCCCGCUACCACUCACCAAUUUGAGGGGGGAUGAUAAGUUAGCUACUGCUGCAGCUUGUCCUAAAAUAGUUGUGUCAGCAGAGUCUUCACAAAGUCACAUGCAACAGAGGAUUACUUCUCCACAUCUCCUACUCCAAUGUGAUAAGAAGUAUCCUCAUGAUAUGCAAACUGGUAAGGGAUAGGCAUUAUCUAGUGGUAAAGCUUUGGUAAAGCUGUUAUAGUUAUGAGAUAUUCUUCUUGUAACCAACGUGUAUUCAUAGUGUUCCACAAGUACUAUAUAAAUAGCACCAUGUGAAAUAUGGUAAAGUAAGUGAAAAGGUAUCUGUAACAAAAGUCAGAAAAUAUUUUUAAAUAUAUUUUUAACCAUUUUCAUCAA
This is a long non-coding RNA of Ziziphus jujuba (common jujube), 2658 nucleotides long. RefSeq lists it as uncharacterized. NCBI's taxonomy places the organism in Eukaryota, Viridiplantae, Streptophyta, Magnoliopsida, Rosales, Rhamnaceae. The transcript is spliced from 2 exons. The record is from RefSeq and is a predicted model, not a curated record.